AGCAACUUGAACCAUCAUCUUCUUCACCCACACAUAAAGAUACCAAAAAAAAGGUUUGUGCUCUACUUUUUAUGUGUUUGUUUUUGCUGUCAUUUAUAUCAUUGAAGUGUAAGAGCUUGUUUCUUGUGGUUUAAAAAGAGUGGUGGUGGUGUGCUGCCACCCACGGUGGCUGUUUGGCCAUGGGAGCCACCCACACCACCUCACUUUUGUGCCAAUCUCCUUAUAGUAUUGGUGGCCGCCCCUUUAUGGAGCCUUCAUGUGCUCAAUCACGUCCAGAGGGGACAGUGGCGCCGCUGCCGCCGCUGCCACUGCCGGCAGCGCAGUUCCGGCCAGAAAAAGGGUUGCCAUGGUGGUCACCCCUAAACCCUAAACCCCCAAAUUGAUUUAACCCUGAGCCCCAAAUUGAUUUUAACCUAAACCCCUAAAUUGAUUUUAACCUAAACCCCAAAUUGAUUUUAACCUAAACCCCCAAAUCGAUUUUAACCUAAACCCCCAAAUUGAUUUUAACCUAAACCCCUAAAUUGAUUUUAACCUAAACCCCCAAAUUAACUUUAACUCUAAACCCCUCAUUUAAUUCUUUUACCUUGUUCCUGUUAGGAGAGUUAAUGCACUAUGGGACUAGUUCCUUGUCGCAUUAUCUUGAAUUGACAUUUUCUAAAUUAAAUCAAUAAGGGAUAGUGCACUAUGGGACUAGUUCCCUGUCGCAUUAUCUUGAAUUGACAUUUUCUAAAUUAAAUCAAUAAGGGAUAGUGCACUAUGAGACUAGUUCCAUGUCGCAUUAUCUUGAAUUGACAUUUCCUAAAUUAAAUCAAUAAGGGAAAGUGCACUAUGAGACUAGUUCCCUGUCGCAUUAUCUUGAAUUGACAUUUUUAAUAAAGUCAAUGAGAGUUAGUGCACUAUGGGACUAGUUCCCUGUCGCAUUAUCUUGAAUUGACAUUUUUAAUAAAGUCAAUGAGAGUUAGUGCACUAUGGGACUAGUUCCCUGUCGCAUUAUCUUGAAUUGACAUUUCCUAAAUUAAAUCAAUAAGGGAUAGUGCACUAUGGGACUAGUACCUGUCGCAUUAUCUUGAAUUGACAUUUUUAAUAAUACCAAGAAGAGUUAAUGCACUAUGGGACUAGUUCCCAGUCGCAUUAUCUUGAAUUGACAUUUUUAAUAAAAUCAAGGAGAGUUAGUGCACUAUGGGACUAGUUCCCUGUCGCAUUAUCUUGAAUUGACAUUUCCUAAAUUAAAUCAAUAAGGGGUGGUGCACUAUGGGACUAGUUCCCUGUCGCAUUAUCCUGAAUUGACAUUUUUAAAAUAAAUUCAAUGAGAGGUAGGGCACUAUGGGACUCGUGCUCUGUCGCGUUAUCUCGAAUUGGUGUUUUUAAAAAAAAUAUAAUUUAAUCAAAUUAAACUUAUUUUAGAAAGAAAUACGUAGCCUUGAUUUCUCUAUUGCAGCUAGGGAUACGUAGGAGCAGUUAUUUCUCUGUCAGGCACACACAAAAAAAUAUAUAUUUUCUCUCUCUUUAUUUUGUUUAAUAAUAUGAGGGUAAGAUUAAAUGUUUUGAAUAAAUAUCCACAUAACUGAUCUAGGUACCGUUUUUUACAACGGGCGGUAUGAGGUGCCUAAUACCUUCCUUAUCCAUAACCGACUCCCGAACCCAAUUUCUAUUUUUUGAGUGAACCAACUAUAUUUUCAAAAAUCGGCUUUUCAUGUUUUCCCUCUAAAAAACAUCGAUGACGACUCCAUUGCAUUUAAUUGCAUGUUUCUCAUCGCAUCCGUAAAAAGGGUAGCGACAUUGGGUAUAUAACUGGUCCAAGUCUCUCAUCUAACCAAUUUUACAUCAAAAUUGGAUUGACUCAGACAAUUUAAGUCUAAAAUUGGUGGUUUUGAUGGUUGAACCGAUUGGACCGGUCGAGUUAAUAAAAAAACUAUUUUUUAAAAGACAAACAAAUUGAUAUUGAUUUUAGAUGAAAAAAUCAAGUAGUUUUAACUUAUUUGAGUUUUAUUUGUCAUUUGUUAGAUUACAUUAUAAUAAAACUUUCGUUGUUUAAUUAAAUUUUAAAGUAAUUAUACGCUUUUAUUGUAAUUACAACAUAUUAUAUAUAUUGUUAGAUGAUGUUUUCAACUUAUUUGUAUCAUUUUAUAGUAGCGAAGUCUUCUUUGUUGGUUAUUUAAUUAGGUAUGAUAAUGUUUUCAAAUUUAGAAUAUAAAAUUAUUAAAUAAUGUUGUAUAAUAUUAUGAAAUUAUUAAUGUAAAUCGAGUCAAUUAAUCCAAUUAUUGACUUAUUUAUUGGACCAAUGAUUCAUUGGCUCAUUUCCUUAACUGAGUCAUUGAUCGGUCCAAGUUAAAUAACACUAGUUGAAAAAGUAAAAUGUAUUGUCAAAUUUUCAACAUUCAUAUAAUGCUAACUUUCAAAAAAGAUGGAUGGGUGUCAAUUGAAUUACAACCUCACUCCUUUAAGUAUUGUUCAACAAUGCGAGCUUGCAUUUCUUUAUAUAGGUUUUAGUUUUUUAACUCACAUAAUAAACUAUUAGAAUUAUUGAAUAAACGAAAAUGAGAAGAAGCAUGUAGCUUUAGAAACAAAGUUUGUAGCCUUGGAAAGCUAACUUUUAGGAAGCUAAUUCAAAUAGCUUUAAAAAAUGAUAACAUUUUUCAAUAAAUCAAUGGUCACUUUUACCCUUUUAAAAUUUAUCAAGUUACAUUAAUGACAAGAAAUUAAAAUUUCAAUGAUAAAUUAAUUAUACAUAACUAAAUAUGUACGUAAUUAUAAAUUAGUAUUUAUUAGAAAUAAUAGCUAAUAUUUUACAAAAUUAUAUAUGAUUAAAUAAAUAAUUAUAAAGUUCCUAAUAAUUUUAUCAAAUUCAAUAUAUUUAAUUAAAUAAUUUAUAGGAAAACUCUAUAAAUACACCUUUACAUUUUAUAUCAUUUAAAAAUAGCUAUUAUUAACUAUUUGUCUUGCCCCUUAAACUUUAACCCUUAGUAGAAUUAGUCCAUAUACAAAAAUAAUAUUAAAUUAGUAAUAAUGAAAAUUUCUAAAUUAUAUGUUUUUUAACCUCAACCCUUAUAUUAUUAUUAUUUUGUUAUAUACAUACCAAUAUUAUUAUAUUAACCAUUUUAAACUAUGAAAUUUACUUAUCCUAUUUUUCUCAAUUAUUAUUAUAUUUUGAUGGUGAUUUCCUCUUAAUAUCAAUGAUAACUAAUAUACAUUGUUGUAUUAUUAUUGUUGUGAGUAUGUUAUUGAAUUAUUAGUAAUUUAAAAAUAUAUUUAUAUAAGAAUUAAUUUCACUAACUUAUAAAAUUUAAUGAUAAUUAAAAAGAAAAAAGUAUUUCAUUAAUAAUUAUAAUUUAAUUAAUAAAACUGCAUAAAUGGUAAAUAGAUAAGUUAUAUGUCUAAGUGAUUUAACAGCCUUUAGCUAGUUUUGAAGAUGAUUUUAUCUAACAGUUCAUAUCUACACAGUUAUAACUUUUAGCUAUAUUCAUAAUUGUCUUGACUACUACAAACUAGUUUUCUAUUUCACAAAAAGUAAAAUGUACUUACCUUUAUUUUCAUUUGUGAAAAGAGAAUUUUUCAAAGUUUUUACUUUAAAGAAAAUAUCUAUAGACUAAAAAAAAAAAGAAUAAUGUAACUUUCAAUGAUAUUUUAUCUUUUUUAUUAUAAUAAAAUUACAUUGUUAUCAUCAAAAAAUAAAGGAAAAAAUAUGCAUUUGUCUCUCUUUUAAUAGAAAAAUGAAAAUCAUCUGUCCCACUUUUUCAUGACUCAUGAUGUCCCAACUCAAUUGGAAGUUGCCACCUAUUUAAAAAAAAAUCAUGAAAAUAUAAAUUAGUUUUUUAUGUUAUUUGGUGCGAUUUGACUGUAUUGAUAAAUUAUAAAUUAGUUUUUUUUAAUAUAUAGGUUAUGGAGGGAAGCAGCAACAAAAAUCUGGAGAGCUCAAUGUAAACAACUAGUCUACCUGGGUAAAGAAUCUUGGACUCAUUCUUAUCAAAACCAUAUCAUAUUGUAUCGACCGCUUCAAUUGAUAAAUUGGUGAACCUGACACUUUACUAAUAUGUUAUAUUAAUUAUA
Molecule: long non-coding RNA, 4047 nt
Filed under: Lupinus angustifolius (narrow-leaved blue lupine)
Lineage: Eukaryota; Viridiplantae; Streptophyta; Magnoliopsida; Fabales; Fabaceae
Description: long non-coding RNA (LANG_LNC001820)
Source: RNAcentral